UUGCCAGCCCGCUCAGAAACUCAAAGGAAUUGACGGGGCCCGCACAAGCGGUGGAGUAUGUGGUUUAAUUCGAUGCAACGCGAGACUACCUGGUCUUGACAUCCCGGAGACCCUUAGGAAACUAGGGGGUGCUUCCAUCUGGAAGAAUCUGGAGACAGGUGCUGCAUGGCUGUCGUCAGCUCGUGUCGUGAGAUGUUGGGUUAAGUCCCGCAACGAGCGCAACCCUUGCCUUUAGUUGCCAGCAGUUCGGCUGGGCACUCUAAAGGGACUGCCGGUGUUAAACCGGAGGAAGGUGGGGAUGACGUCAAGUCCUCAUGGCCUUUAUGACCAGGGCUACACACGUACUACAAUGGCCGAUACAAAGGGCAGCGACACUGCGAGGUGAAGCCAAUCCCGUAAAAUCGGUCUCAGUCCAGAUUGGAGUCUGCAACUCGACUCCAUGAAGUUGGAAUCGCUAGUAAUCGUGGAUCAGCAUGCCACGGUGAAUACGUUCCCGGGCCUU
This 502-nucleotide ribosomal RNA is filed under the name uncultured Desulfobulbus sp. Its description in RNAcentral is "bacterial SSU rRNA". It matches the Rfam family "Bacterial small subunit ribosomal RNA", at positions 880 to 1382 of the family's 1533-position model. The record is from RNAcentral. Lineage: Bacteria; Pseudomonadati; Thermodesulfobacteriota; Desulfobulbia; Desulfobulbales; Desulfobulbaceae.